RNAcentral lists this ribosomal RNA (514 nucleotides) under uncultured bacterium. Its description in RNAcentral is "bacterial SSU rRNA". It matches the Rfam family "Bacterial small subunit ribosomal RNA", at positions 376 to 896 of the family's 1533-position model. The record is from RNAcentral.
CGGAAAGCCUGAUCCAGCGACGCCGCGUGGACGAUGAAGGUCUUCGGAUCGUAAAGUCCUUUUGUUAGGGAAGAAUAUUUUGACGGUACCUAACGAAUAAGAGGUUGCUAACUCUGUGCCAGCAGCAGCGGUAAUACAGAGACCUCGAGCGUUAUCCGGAAUCAUUGGGCGUAAAGCGUACCGAUAGGUGGUUAAGAAAGUCAGAUGUGAAAUCUCCGAGCUCAACUCGGAAUCUGUCAUUUGAAACUUCUUGACUAGAGGAGCAAAGAGGAAGCUGGAACGAACGGUGUAGUAGUGAAAUGCGUUGAUAUCGUUCGGAACACCAAUAGCGUAGGCAGGCUUCUGGGUGCUACCUGACACUGCUAGGACGAAAGCGUGGGGAGCGAAGGGGAUUAGAUACCCCCGUAGUCCACGCUGUAAACGAUGUACAUUAGGCGCUAGGGAGUAUCGACCCUCUUUAGUGCCAAAGCUAACGCGUUAAAUGUACCGCCUGGGGAGUACGGCCGCAAGGCUA